This is a long non-coding RNA of Cylas formicarius (sweet potato weevil), 616 nucleotides long. RefSeq lists it as uncharacterized. The record is from RefSeq and is a predicted model, not a curated record. The transcript has 3 exons. NCBI's taxonomy places the organism in Eukaryota, Metazoa, Arthropoda, Insecta, Coleoptera, Brentidae.
UACGCCUGAGUCAUCGCACACAAUCGCGCUGCAAUUUACAUUCACGCCGCGACCAACGGUCGAGUUUCGAAGCGAAGCGGCCCCAUAUGACGACGGUUUGGUUAGGUUAGGUCGCUAACUACGACCAAUUUUAUCAGCGGGUCGCGUUAUAUUGCGGAAUUCUCGCCAACACAAAUCUUAAUUAUUCUGAAGGAACGUUCUCGAAUGUAAUUUUAAAUUCAUUACCCAUAGUGAGACUUCAUUCUUUGGAUUUUUGUUUGUGUUUCACCACUUAAAAAAGCAAAUAAAAAUGUUCACCUGCGAAUAUUGCAACCGCUCGUUCAGCCGUAAAGACCACCUGGCGAGGCACGGGGACUGUCGCGCAGCAGUACAAAUUUGUGACGUUUGCGGCGGGAUAUACAAAUCCGAGGGGGCUCUCCGACGCCAUAAACGCGAGAAGCAUGAGGUUCCCAAGGCGAAAAGACCCGCCGCCGCCCCUAUUGCUGCAGACGAACCCAAGCGCCCGAGACUUGACCUACCGGAAGCUUCGACAUCAUCAUCAUCACCAUCAUCCACGCGCCAUUGUACGCAGUGUAACUUGACCAUUCCUGCAAUGAGAUGGCAAGGACACUUGCGU